GAACGAGAAAGUGGAGCAAUCCAUGAGUACAGUGGCGUACGGGUGAGUAACACGUGACUAACCUACCCUCGAGUGGGGAAUAACCUCGGGAAACCGGGGCUAAUACCGCAUAACAUCUACGGAUCGAAUGCGUAAGCAGCUUGAGGAGGGGGUCGCGGCCGAUUAGCUAGUUGGUGGGGUAAUGGCCCACCAAGGCAAUGAUCGGUAGCCGGCCUGAGAGGGCGCACGGCCACACUGGAACUGAAACACGGUCCAGACUCCUACGGGAGGCAGCAGUGGGGAAUUUUGCGCAAUGGGGGAAACCCUGACGCAGCAACGCCGCGUGGAGGAUGAAGCCCUUUGGGGCGUANACUCCUUUCGAUCGGGACGAUUAUGACGGUACCGGAUGAAGAAGCACCGGCUAACUCUGUG
Molecule: ribosomal RNA, 411 nt
Filed under: uncultured bacterium
Lineage: Bacteria
Description: bacterial SSU rRNA
Rfam family: Bacterial small subunit ribosomal RNA
Source: RNAcentral